RNAcentral lists this ribosomal RNA (1593 nucleotides) under Salmonella enterica. RNAcentral's name for it is "partial 23S ribosomal RNA". It matches the Rfam family "Bacterial large subunit ribosomal RNA", at positions 1227 to 2802 of the family's 2925-position model. The record is from RNAcentral. Lineage: Bacteria; Pseudomonadati; Pseudomonadota; Gammaproteobacteria; Enterobacterales; Enterobacteriaceae.
GGUAGGGGAGCGUUCUGUAAGCCUGUGAAGGUGUGUCGUGAGGCAUGCUGGAGGUAUCAGAAGUGCGAAUGCUGACAUAAGUAACGAUAAAGCGGGUGAAAAGCCCGCUCGCCGGAAGACCAAGGGUUCCUGUCCAACGUUAAUCGGGGCAGGGUGAGUCGACCCCUAAGGCGAGGCCGAAAGGCGUAGUCGAUGGGAAACGGGUUAAUAUUCCCGUACUUGGUGUUACUGCGAAGGGGGGACGGAGAAGGCUAUGUUGGCCGGGCGACGGUUGUCCCGGUUUAAGCGUGUAGGUGUGUGUUCCAGGUAAAUCCGGUUCACUUUAACACUGAGGCGUGACGACGAGGCACUACGGUGCUGAAGCAACAAAUGCCCUGCUUCCAGGAAAAGCCUCUAAGCAUCAGGUAACACGAAAUCGUACCCCAAACCGACACAGGUGGUCAGGUAGAGAAUACCAAGGCGCUUGAGAGAACUCGGGUGAAGGAACUAGGCAAAAUGGUGCCGUAACUUCGGGAGAAGGCACGCUGACACGUAGGUGAAGUGAUUUACUCAUGGAGCUGAAGUCAGUCGAAGAUACCAGCUGGCUGCAACUGUUUAUUAAAAACACAGCACUGUGCAAACACGAAAGUGGACGUAUACGGUGUGACGCCUGCCCGGUGCCGGAAGGUUAAUUGAUGGGGUCAGCGCAAGCGAAGCUCCUGAUCGAAGCCCCGGUAAACGGCGGCCGUAACUAUAACGGUCCUAAGGUAGCGAAAUUCCUUGUCGGGUAAGUUCCGACCUGCACGAAUGGCGUAAUGAUGGCCAGGCUGUCUCCACCCGAGACUCAGUGAAAUUGAACUCGCUGUGAAGAUGCAGUGUACCCGCGGCAAGACGGAAAGACCCCGUGAACCUUUACUAUAGCUUGACACUGAACAUUGAGCCUUGAUGUGUAGGAUAGGUGGGAGGCUUUGAAGUGUGGACGCCAGUCUGCAUGGAGCCGACCUUGAAAUACCACCCUUUAAUGUUUGAUGUUCUAACGUGGACCCGUGAUCCGGGUUGCGGACAGUGUCUGGUGGGUAGUUUGACUGGGGCGGUCUCCUCCUAAAGAGUAACGGAGGAGCACGAAGGUUGGCUAAUCCUGGUCGGACAUCAGGAGGUUAGUGCAAUGGCAUAAGCCAGCUUGACUGCGAGCGUGACGGCGCGAGCAGGUGCGAAAGCAGGUCAUAGUGAUCCGGUGGUUCUGAAUGGAAGGGCCAUCGCUCAACGGAUAAAAGGUACUCCGGGGAUAACAGGCUGAUACCGCCCAAGAGUUCAUAUCGACGGCGGUGUUUGGCACCUCGAUGUCGGCUCAUCACAUCCUGGGGCUGAAGUAGGUCCCAAGGGUAUGGCUGUUCGCCAUUUAAAGUGGUACGCGAGCUGGGUUUAGAACGUCGUGAGACAGUUCGGUCCCUAUCUGCCGUGGGCGCUGGAGAACUGAGGGGGGCUGCUCCUAGUACGAGAGGACCGGAGUGGACGCAUCACUGGUGUUCGGGUUGUCAUGCCAAUGGCACUGCCCGGUAGCUAAAUGCGGAAGAGAUAAGUGCUGAAAGCAUCUAAGCACGAAACUUGCCCCGA